UGGGGAAUUUUGGACAAUGGGCGAAAGCCUGAUCCAGCAAUGCCGCGUGUGCGAAGAAGGCCUUCGGGUUGUAAAGCACUUUUGUCAGGGAAGAAAUCUUUUAGGCUAAUACCUUGGAAGGAUGACGGUACCUGAAGAAUAAGCACCGGCUAACUACGUGCCAGCAGCCGCGGUAAUACGUAGGGUGCAAGCGUUAAUCGGAAUUACUGGGCGUAAAGCGUGCGCAGGCGGUUUGUUAAGACAGUCGUGAAAUCCCCGGGCUUAACCUGGGAACUGCGAUUGUGACUGGCAAGCUAGAGUACGGCAGAGGGGGGUGGAAUUCCUGGUGUAGCAGUGAAAUGCGUAGAGAUCAGGAGGAACACCGAUGGCGAAGGCAGCCCCCUGGGCUAGUACUGACGCUCAUGCACGAAAGCGUGGGGAGCAAACAGG
RNAcentral lists this ribosomal RNA (429 nucleotides) under uncultured beta proteobacterium. RNAcentral's name for it is "bacterial SSU rRNA". It matches the Rfam family "Bacterial small subunit ribosomal RNA", at positions 355 to 776 of the family's 1533-position model. Lineage: Bacteria; Pseudomonadati; Pseudomonadota; Betaproteobacteria. The record is from RNAcentral.